This 108-nucleotide ribosomal RNA is filed under the name Lactiplantibacillus plantarum. Its description in RNAcentral is "Lactobacillus plantarum partial 16S ribosomal RNA". It matches the Rfam family "Bacterial small subunit ribosomal RNA", at positions 1435 to 1533 of the family's 1533-position model. Lineage: Bacteria; Bacillati; Bacillota; Bacilli; Lactobacillales; Lactobacillaceae. The record is from RNAcentral.
GUAACCUUUUAGGAACCAGCCGCCUAAGGUGGGACAGAUGAUUAGGGUGAAGUCGUAACAAGGUAGCCGUAGGAGAACCUGCGGCUGGAUCACCUCCUUUCUAAGGAA